RNAcentral lists this ribosomal RNA (217 nucleotides) under uncultured bacterium. RNAcentral's name for it is "partial 16S ribosomal RNA". It matches the Rfam family "Bacterial small subunit ribosomal RNA", at positions 122 to 334 of the family's 1533-position model. The record is from RNAcentral.
UAACCUGCCUGGUAGCGGGGGAUAACUAUUGGAAACGAUAGCUAAUGCCGCAUAACAUUGACUAUUGCAUGAUAGUCAAUUGAAAGGUGCAAAUGCACCACUACCAGAUGGACCUGCGUUGUAUUAGCUAGUUGGUGGGGUAACGGCUCACCAAGGCGACGAUACAUAGCCGACCUGAGAGGGUGAUCGGCCACACUGGGACUGAGACACGGCCCAG